RNAcentral lists this ribosomal RNA (1460 nucleotides) under uncultured organism. RNAcentral's name for it is "SSU rRNA". It matches the Rfam family "Bacterial small subunit ribosomal RNA". The record is from RNAcentral.
GAACGCUGGCGGCAGGCCUAACACAUGCAAGUCGAACGGUAACAGGAAACAGCUUGCUGUUUCGCUGACGAGUGGCGGACGGGUGAGUAAUGUCUGGGAAACUGCCUGAUGGAGGGGGAUAACUACUGGAAACGGUAGCUAAUACCGCAUAACGUCGCAAGACCAAAGAGGGGGACCUUCGGGCCUCUUGCCAUCGGAUGUGCCCAGAUGGGAUUAGCUUGUUGGUGGGGUAACGGCUCACCAAGGCGACGAUCCCUAGCUGGUCUGAGAGGAUGACCAGCCACACUGGAACUGAGACACGGUCCAGACUCCUACGGGAGGCAGCAGUGGGGAAUAUUGCACAAUGGGCGCAAGCCUGAUGCAGCCAUGCCGCGUGUAUGAAGAAGGCCUUCGGGUUGUAAAGUACUUUCAGCGGGGAGGAAGGGAGUAAAGUUAAUACCUUUGCUCAUUGACGUUACCCGCAGAAGAAGCACCGGCUAACUCCGUGCCAGCAGCCGCGGUAAUACGGAGGGUGCAAGCGUUAAUCGGAAUUACUGGGCGUAAAGCGCACGCAGGCGGUUUGUUAAGUCAGAUGUGAAAUCCCCGGGCUCAACCUGGGAACUGCAUCUGAUACUGGCAAGCUUGAGUCUCGUAGAGGGGGGUAGAAUUCCAGGUGUAGCGGUGAAAUGCGUAGAGAUCUGGAGGAAUACCGGUGGCGAAGGCGGCCCCCUGGACGAAGACUGACGCUCAGGUGCGAAAGCGUGGGGAGCAAACAGGAUUAGAUACCCUGGUAGUCCACGCCGUAAACGAUGUCGACUUGGAGGUUGUGCCCUUGAGGCGUGGCUUCCGGAGCUAACGCGUUAAGUCGACCGCCUGGGGAGUACGGCCGCAAGGUUAAAACUCAAAUGAGUUGACGGGGGCCCGCACAAGCGGUGGAGCAUGUGGUUUAAUUCGAUGCAACGCGAAGAACCUUACCUGGUCUUGACAUCCACAGAACUUUCCAGAGAUGGAUUGGUGCCUUCGGGAACUGUGAGACAGGUGCUGCAUGGCUGUCGUCAGCUCGUGUUGUGAAAUGUUGGGUUAAGUCCCGCAACGAGCGCAACCCUUAUCCUUUGUUGCCAGCGGUCCGGCCGGGAACUCAAAGGAGACUGCCAGUGAUAAACUGGAGGAAGGUGGGGAUGACGUCAAGUCAUCAUGGCCCUUACGACCAGGGCUACACACGUGCUACAAUGGCGCAUACAAAGAGAAGCGACCUCGCGAGAGCAAGCGGACCUCAUAAAGUGCGUCGUAGUCCGGAUUGGAGUCUGCAACUCGACUCCAUGAAGUCGGAAUCGCUAGUAAUCGUGGAUCAGAAUGCCACGGUGAAUACGUUCCCGGGCCUUGUACACACCGCCCGUCACACCAUGGGAGUGGGUUGCAAAAGAAGUAGGUAGCUUAACCUUCGGGGGGGCGCUUACCACUUUGUGAUUCAUGACUGGGGU